This 459-nucleotide ribosomal RNA is filed under the name uncultured bacterium. RNAcentral describes it as "partial 16S ribosomal RNA". It matches the Rfam family "Bacterial small subunit ribosomal RNA", at positions 338 to 795 of the family's 1533-position model. The record is from RNAcentral.
CCUACGGGAGGCAGCAGUGAGGAAUAUUGGUCAAUGGGAGAGAUCCUGAACCAGCCAAGCCGCGUGAGGGAAGACGGCCCUAUGGGUUGUAAACCUCUUUUGUCGGAGCACAAAACCCGGGACGUGUCCCGGACUGCGUGUAUCCGAAGAAAAAGCAUCGGCUAACUCCGUGCCAGCAGCCGCGGUAAUAAGGAGGAUGCGAGCGUUAUCCGGAUUUAUUGGGUUUAAAGGGUGCGUAGGCGGUCCGUUAAGUCAGCGGGAAAAUUGCGGGGCUCAACCCCGUCAAGCCGUUGAAACUGGCAGACUUGAGUUGGCGAGAAGUACGCGGAAUGCGCGGUGUAGCGGUGAAAUGCAUAGAUAUCGCGCAGAACUCCGAUUGCGAAGGCAGCGUACCGGCGCCAGACUGACGCUGAGGCACGAAAGCGUGGGGAUCGAACAGGAUUAGAUACCCCAGUAGUC